Molecule: non-coding RNA, 3981 nt
Organism: Callithrix jacchus (white-tufted-ear marmoset)
Lineage: Eukaryota; Metazoa; Chordata; Mammalia; Primates; Cebidae
Source: RefSeq, a predicted model, not a curated record
CGUCAGCUGCUGAAGGUGAAGAAUUCGUCUUCUGACGCGACAGUCUCCUGGGCCAAUCAGAGGCAGCCCGUGUGGGGAAAGGCUCCAGUGCGCCCUGCUGGGGAGCAGCGGCGAGGUAGCACCUGGCAGAGGUGACUUGCUCUGAGGAGCGGCGGUUCCUUCCACCAAUCGGAACGUGCAGAGUUGGGGAGCCGGCCAAUCAGGCGCGGAGGGCGGGGCCGGGCGGGGCUCCACCUGGCGGCUGGCUCUUAGUCCCCGCGCUGCAGUCUGAGGAGCUGUGUCUGUUCCCCGGAGUCAGUCGGCGGCUGUUGUAUCGUAUCGGGAUCCUGGUCGCGAUGGGGACGAAGGCGCAAGCCGAGAGGAAACUGUUGCGCCUCUUCGUUUUGGAGAUCCUGUUGUGCUCCCUGGCAUUGGGCAGUGGUACAGUGCACACUUCUGAACCUGAAGUCAGAAUUCCUGAGAAUAAUGCUGUCAAGUUGUCCUGUACCUACUCGGGCUUUUCUUCUCCCCGUGUGGAGUGGAAGUUUGAUCAUGGAGAUACCACCAGACUUGUUUGCUAUAACAGCAAGAUCACAGCUUCCUAUGAGAACCGAGUGACCUUCUCAUCAAGUGGUAUCACCUUCAAAUCCGUAACACGGGAAGACACCGGGACAUACACUUGUAUGGUCUCUGAGGAAGGCGGCAACAGCUAUGGGGAGGUCAAGGUCAAGCUCAUCGUGCUUGUGCCUCCAUCCAAGCCUACAGUUAGCAUCCCCUCCUCUGCCACCAUUGGGAACCGAGCAGUGCUGACAUGCUCAGAACAAGAUGGUUCCCCACCGUCUAAAUACACCUGGUACAGAGAUGGCAUAGAGAUGCCUGCCAAUCCCAAGACCAGCCGUGCCUUCAGCAACUCUUCCUAUAACCUUAAUCCCACGACAGGAGAGCUGGUCUUUGAUCCCGUGUCAGCCUCUGAUACUGGAGAAUACAGUUGUCAGGCAGAGAAUGGGUUUGGGACAGCAGUGAAAUCAAAUGCUGUGCGCAUGGAAGCUGUGGAGCUGAAUGUGGGGGCCAUCGUGGCAGCUGUCCUUGUAACCCUGAUUCUCCUGGGAAUCUUGAUUUUUGGCAUCUGGUUUGCCUAUAGCCGAGGCUACUUUCACAGAGCAAAGAAAGGGUGAGUGAGGUGCUGACCUGGGGUUCUCCGAGUUUGAGAGCAUGGAUGCAUGUGGUUUGAAGCUGAGGACUUCGAGUAAGAAGGUGAUUUACAGCCAGCCUAGUGCUCGAAGUGAAGGGGAAUUCAAACAGACCUCGUCGUUCCUGGUGUGAGCCUGCUCGGGCUCUCCGUCUGUCAUCUGCACUUGCCUUACUCAGGUGCUACCAGACUCUGGCCCCUGAGGUCUAUAGAUUCACAGGAUGCCUUAUUUGUCUUCUACACCCCACAGGGCCCCCCACUUCUUAGGAUGUAUUUUUAAUAAUGUCAGCUAUGUGCCCUUCCUCCUUCAUGCACUCCCUGCCUUUCCUACGACUGCUGAGUGGCCUGGAACUUGUUUAAAGUGUUUAUUCCCCAUUUCUAUGAGGGAUCAGGCAGGAAUCCUGGGUAUGCUAUUGAUGUCCCUUCUAAGUAGACAGCAAAAAUGGCGUGGCUCCCAGGAAUCUACACUCAACUGACCACCUGGCCUGCAGGAGCCUUUGAAUAGGGAUCUUCAACCUGGUUCUGGGCUCUUUCCUCAUUUCCAGUGCCAGCUGUUCUAGAGCGGGGGCAGAGGCUAGAAUGGCUGAAAUGGUUGUUUGGUGAUGACACUGGGGUCCCUCCAUCUCUGGGGUCCAUUCUCUUCUGGCUUCCCAUGGGAAGUGCUGCUGGAAUCCCUCCGCCCAGUCCUCCUCCUGAAUACAAGCAGACAGAUACUGACUGUCCAUGGAAAAUGGGAGCUCUUGUUGUGGAGAGCAUAGUAAAUUUUCAGAGAAUGUAGAAUGUGAAGCGAAAAAGGUUUAAAACCACUGCUCUAAAGAAAAGAAAGUUGGAGGCCGGGCAAGGUGGCUCAAGCGUGUAAUCCUCGGCACUUUGGGAGGCCAAGGCAGGCGGAUCACCUGAGGUCAGGAGUUUGAGAGCAGCCUGAUCAACAUGAAGAAAUUCCGUCUCUACUAAAAAUACAAAAUUAGCCGGGCAUGGUGGCGCAUGCCUGUAAUCCCAGCUACUCAGGAGGCUGAGGCAGGAGAAUUGCUUGAACCUGGGACAUGGAGGUUGUGGUGAACCGAGAUCUUGCCAUUGCACUCCAGCCUGGGCAACAAGAGUGAAACUUUGUCUCCCCCCAAAAAAAAAAAAAAGCUGGAGCUAGUGGGUCAGGCCAUCACCCUUCCCUUGACUGGAACUCCUGGACAGACCCUUUUGAGAUGUGCCUGUGAUGCUGUGGAGAUGUCUGUAGUGGUCUUAGCUGUUUGCUGAAAUUGAGUGUGUGCUGGAGGGCUUCUUAGCUCUUUGGUGAGAUUGUAUUUCUAUGUGUUUGUAUCAGCUGGAUGUUGCUGGAAAUAAAAGCUUGAUUUGUCAAGGCUGCUUUUUGUAGGAAGUAAGUAGGGGAAAAGGUCUUUGAGGGUUCCUGGGCUCCUGUGUACAACAGGAAAAUGCUUCAAAGCCGUGCUUCCCAGCAACCUGGGGCUGGUUCCCUGUGCCUGGUCCUGCCCCUUCCUGGUUCUUAUCUCAAGGCAGAGCUUCUGAAUUUCAGGCCCUCAUUCCAGAGCCCUCUUGUGGCCAGGCCUUCCUCUGCUGGAGGAAGGUGCCCAGGGUGAAGCUGAUGCUGUACUUGUGGGAUCUUCUUGGCCUGUUCCACCAAGUGACAGGAGAAAGUACUCACCCUUCUACCUCCUGCCCAGCCAGGUGCAUUGACAGACCUCCCUACGGCUCUAGGAACAACUGUCCCAGAGCUGAGGCGGGGAUUUCUCAGGUCAUUUGGAGAACAGCUGCUUUAGUAGUGGUUGAAAGUAGUAACCGCUGCUAUAUUUAGUGGGGUGGAGUUCAGAAGAAAUUUGGGUGGUCUGCAUGUGAAUGAACAGGAACGAGCAGGACAGGACUGGCUGUCAUUGCUUUCCUCCUCCCCAUUUGGACCCUUUUCUGCCUUUACAUUUUUGUUUCUCUGUCUACUACCAUUCCCCCAGUCUAUUUAUUAACUUAGCAAGAGGGCAAAUAAAGGGCCCUCUUGGGUGAUUUUGCUUCUUUAUUUCUGUGGAGGAUACUAAGUGCCACUUUGCCCUAUCCUGUCUGGAAAUCCCUAACAGAAUUGAGUUUUUUAUUAAGGAUCCAAAAAGAAAAAAUACUAAUGUGAAGCUGUCAGUUAAGGGUCACAUGCUAAUAAAAAAUAAAUUUUCCAGAGGAAAUGAAAUCUGACUAGACAAAGUAGAGCUUAUGAAAUGGUUCAGUAAGGAUGAGAUUUUUUUUUUAAAUUUUUUGAGAUGGAGUUUCACUCUGUCUCCUAGGCUGGAGUGCAGUGGCACAAUCUCGGCUCACUGCAACCUCUGCCUCCCGGGUUCAAGUGAUUCUCCUGCCUCAGUCUCCUGGGUAGCUGGGAUGACAGGCGAGUGUCACCAUGCCCAGCUAAUUUGUAUUUUUAGUGGAGAUGGAGUUUCACCAUGUUGGUCAGGCUGGUCUAGAAUUCCUGACAUGAUCUGCCUGCCUCAGCCUCCCAAAGUGCUGGAAUUACAGGUGUGAGCCACUGCGCCCGGCCAAGGAUGAAUUUUUUAAAGUAUGUUUCAGUACUGUAUCAUGGUUGGAGUAAGAGGGAUAUGGAGAAAAGGCCAUGGGGAGGCAGAGGUGAUUCAUGGCUCCUGUGAAUUUGAGAUGAAUGGUUCCUUAUUGUCUAGGCUACUUGUGAAGAAUAUGAGUCAGUUAUUACCAGCCUUGGAAUUUACCUCUCUAACUUCCAACAGACCUUUUGAACUGGAAAACACCUUGUCUGCUUUCACUUUAAAAUGUCAAAACUAAUUUUUGUAAUAAAUGUUUAUUUUUCACAUUGA